This 403-nucleotide ribosomal RNA is filed under the name uncultured bacterium. RNAcentral's name for it is "bacterial SSU rRNA". It matches the Rfam family "Bacterial small subunit ribosomal RNA", at positions 355 to 775 of the family's 1533-position model. The record is from RNAcentral.
CAAGGAAUUUUGCGCAAUGGGGGGAACCCUGACGCAGCAACGCCGCGUGGAGGACGAAGGCCUUCGGGUUGUAAACUCCUUUUCUCGGGGAAGAUGAUGACGGUACCUGAGGAAUAAGUCUCGGCUAACUACGUGCCAGCAGCCGCGGUAAUACGUAGGAGGCGAGCGUUGUCCGGAUUUACUGGGCGUAAAGAGCGCGUAGGCGGCUUAUUAAGUCUGAAGUGAAAUCUCCUGGCUCAACUGGGAGGGUGCUUUGGAUACUGAUAGGCUGGAGGGCAUCAGAGGAAAGCGGAACUCCCGGUGUAGUGGUGAAAUGCGUAGAUAUCGGGAAGAACACCAGUGGCGAAGGCGGCUUUCUGGGGUGUUACUGACGCUGAGGCGCGAAAGCGUGGGGAGCGAACCG